This 878-nucleotide long non-coding RNA is filed under the name Triticum aestivum (bread wheat). Its description in RNAcentral is "long non-coding RNA (TAES_LNC003443)". Lineage: Eukaryota; Viridiplantae; Streptophyta; Magnoliopsida; Poales; Poaceae. The record is from RNAcentral.
UCAAUUCAACUCAACUCAGAGAGCAAACCAAAGCAUAUCCACAUCCACCGAGCGGACCGAAAGAACAACUCGAUCAGUCACAGACAGAGUCUCGAAUCUUGCGUUCGAUUUGAUCGGAGAAGAUGGCGAGCAAGGGAGGCAACAAGGGGGAGGGCCCUGCAAUCGGCAUCGACCUCGGCACCACAUACUCCUGCGUCGGCGUCUGGCAGCAUGACCGGGUGGAGAUCGUCGCCAACGACCAGGGCAACCGCACCACGCCGUCCUACGUCGCCUUCACCGACACCGAGCGGCUCAUCGGCGACGCCGCCAAGAACCAGGUCGCCAUGAACCCCACCAACACCGUUUUUGGUAAGCCCCGCGUGCCUCGGUCUCUUAUCUUACAAGUAGUAGAAUACAUGCUCGUGCAGUGAGAGUACGUGCUCUGCCUUUUGCUCUGUUUUACGCUCCUGAGCAGUCACUUACCACUCUGCUCUGCCACGCAGAUGCCAAGCGACUCAUCGGACGGCGCUUCUCGGACGCAUCCGUGCAGUCGGAUAUGAAGAUGUGGCCGUUCAAGGUGGUCCCCGGCGCCGGCGACAAGCCGAUGAUCGUGGUCACCUACAAGGGGGAGGAGAAGACCUUCUCUGCCGAGGAGAUAUCCUCCAUGGUGCUCACCAAGAUGAGGGAGAUCGCCGAGGCCUUCCUCAGCACAACCAUCAACAACGCCGUCGUCACUGUCCCGGCCUACUUCAACGACUCCCAGCGCCAGGCCACCAAGGACGCCGGCGUCAUCGCCGGCCUCAACGUCAUGCGCAUCAUCAACGAGCCGACCGCGGCGGCCAUCGCUUACGGCCUCGACAAAAAGGCCACCAGCACCGGGGAGAAGAACGUGCUCAUCU